GCCUGGGUGGCUCAGAGGGUAGAGCCUCUGACUUCAGCUCAGGUCAUGAUCUCGUGGUCUGUGGGUUCGAGCCCCGCGUCAGGCU
Molecule: transfer RNA, 85 nt
Filed under: Felis catus (domestic cat)
Lineage: Eukaryota; Metazoa; Chordata; Mammalia; Carnivora; Felidae
Also listed under: 1 other name
Rfam family: tRNA
About the family: Transfer RNA (tRNA) molecules are approximately 80 nucleotides in length.
Source: Rfam by way of RNAcentral